CCUACGGGUGGCAGCAGUGAGGAAUAUUGGUCAAUGGACGCAAGUCUGAACCAGCCAUGCCGCGUGCAGGAUGACGGCUCUAUGAGUUGUAAACUGCUUUUGUACGAGGGUAAACCCCGAUACGUGUAUCGGGUUGAAAGUAUCGUACGAAUAAGGAUCGGCUAACUCCGUGCCAGCAGCCGCGGUAAUACGGAGGAUCCGAGCGUUAUCCGGAUUUAUUGGGUUUAAAGGGUGCGUAGGCGGAUCGUUAAGUCAGUGGUCAAAUUGAGGGGCUCAACCCCUUCCCGCCAUUGAAACUGGCGCUCUGGAGUGGAAGAGAAGUAGGCGGAAUGCGUGGUGUAGCGGUGAAAUGCAUAGAUAUCACGCAGAACCCCGAUUGCGAAGGCAGCAUGCCGGCUUCCGACUGACGCUGAAGCACGAAAGCGUGGGGAUCGAACAGGAUUAGAUACCCCAGUAGUC
Molecule: ribosomal RNA, 459 nt
Filed under: uncultured bacterium
Lineage: Bacteria
Description: partial 16S ribosomal RNA
Rfam family: Bacterial small subunit ribosomal RNA
Source: RNAcentral